GCUCUCACUGCAGCCGUUUCUUCACAGGGUGAUCCUCACAGAAACACUCAAAGCCUUCUGUUACGUACAAAGGACCGCGUGUCAGUAAUCUACAGCCAUUUACCAGUUACCAAGAAAACACGGACGUUUCCACUAAAAAUCGCAAACGUUUCUUUCAAGCAAGGAGCGCCCUGCGCCAGAGGCUGUGGGAGGAGUGAGGAGUCUGGGUUCGUUCCAGCCGCAGCUCUCUGAAGACAAGCCUGUGGGUCAUGAUUUCCCGCUCCCCCAGCUCGUGCUGCACGGCAGCUCAGCAGCAGGUCUGCUCCUCUGUGCUGAACUGAAGGGAGCCGAGUGCUCGCCCUCCGUCCGGGCCGGAGCUCAGAUCGUCCUGCCUCACGUACAAGAAGUAACCAGUUCUUUGGCCUUCAGACUCCCUGUUUCACUGGAUGAGGACAGCUCUGUGCCAGAGAAUGAGCUGGGAUCUGCCCUGACAAGUGGAGCCUCGUUUGAAAGUGUCGGUAACAGGCUCUGUGUCUGAACCAAAGUUUCCCUUGCAACCUGGUGUGGCUGCAUGAUGGAGUUUGGGCCGUGACAUAUGGUGGGUUUGACGUGUGCCACUCUUAGGGCCAACUUCUAAAGCCUCCAAGACACAGCCCCAUGCCCUGUGCCCUUCUGCAGCUCAGAGCAGAUGAGCCCAGUGACCUUGAGGCCCUUGAAGAUGGUGGAACCAGGAGACAUGAGGGGCCUUGGCCUGGAAACACAACUCGAAGGGAAAUCACUCAUCUGGAAAACGUGUUUGGACCCAUACCACACCGUGGCAAAUACCUGGUAAAACUGUCAUCUGAAAUUGCUUGGAAAUAGGACACUACCACCUAAACCCACAGCUCGUAGGCCAGGGCACCUCAACUGUAGUCCCCAGACCAGCAGCAUCGGUGUUACCUGGAAAAUUAAAAAUGCAAAGUUUUGGGCCCACUUCAGACCCCAGGUCAGAAAUUGUGGGUUGCAGAAAUCUGUGUUUUAAUAACCCUUCAGAUGACUGUGGUGCCCGACAAAGUUGAAAUGCCUGCUCCCAUGUGUGCUGGGUUUAGUUUGUGCUUUAGCAAAGCGGGAUAAGAAAGAAAGGAGGCCAGGAUGGAAUUCGCUGGUUUCCAACUAGAAGUGACAGAAAAUAGAAAGAGUCCAGUAAUGUGAGGUCUUGAAGUGUUGGGAGAAUUCAUUCAUCACUUCUAGAUUCCAGACAAUCAGAAAUAAAAUUUUAAAAGUCUUUCAAUGACAAACUAAGACUUCUCAGUUGGGAAAAAAAAAAAAAAAGGACUCAGUCUUGUUGCAGACAUGAGAUGAAGAGUGUGGUCUUUUCACAAAUGCCUGUGCAAGGGAGUCAAGGACAGAAGCCAUCCGGUGGGCUCCUUGGCACGGGGGCGGCUGAAGCAAACCAACCAGGAGCCCACGCAGCUGUCAAGGGCUUGUGUCAGCAAGUAAAGCCUAGACUGCUUGUGACUGUGAAGUGUAAAAGUGCCCCUGGGUCCUCAGGCCUGUGGACAGGACAAAGCCAAAGCCGCCCAGCGCCGUGUGAUGCGGCCACAGAGAACACGAGCCUCGGGAGAGAGGAGCCUGGGGCUGGAAAACAAGGGUGAAGGACGCUCCCCUCUGGCUGCAGGAGAGGGGCUGCUGAGGGCAAGAUCCAUCAUUUCUUGGGACCAAUGAUGCUGCUUCCUACUCUCUGCUUUCUGCCUGGGAGUUUUGUCUGGGACGCCUGUGUCUGCCCCACUCACUGUGUGGUGCAAGCUCCAUUUCCAGUGAGGACAACCGUGGCUGCCGAGAGCACCUUACAAGCCAGGCAUCCUCCUCUGAGCUCAAGGCAGCCUUGAGAAGUGGGACGAAGACUUCCUUCACGGGAAGAGGAGCGGCUCAGAGAAAGGAAGAGGCUAGUCCAGAACCACCACGUGGACAUCUUCUGUGAAGGCAAGGGCUCACCCUCACCCUGACGCCAGCCACCUGCCCCUCUUAAUAGGAGGGCGGGCCCUCCCCGCACAGCAGGCACUUCACUGCAGGCUCUGCUGCCUUUGGGAAAUGUGCCUCCCUUGUAGAGCUCUGUGGUGCAGAUUCGGCUAUCAAAGGAGUAGAACCCCCCCCUCCCCCCCGCCACCGUCCCACCCCCACAGAGCAGCUAAGAAAGCUGUUUGAUUUAACCCGUGGUUUCCCAAAUACUUUAGACCACUAAUUAAUUUUGUUUUCUGAAACAUUCGUUAAUAUGUUCACAGAAAAUUGUGGCAUUCACUUUGGAAAAUAUAUCUGUUUAAGAACAGAUAAUGAAUACAUAACAAAUUUAGAACUGUGUUAAGAUUCCAUAACUAAAACCACUCUAAACUUUCUGAAAUGGCUGAAAACGUUUCCCUAACUUUUCUGAAAGUACUUGCUGGGCUUCUUGGAGACUGAAUCAUCCCUUUUGAGCCCACUUAGGGGAAAGUUCAAAAGACCUCAGAGAAGACAAAAAGCAGGGCAAGAGAGACGGCCCAGUCUUCUAGCUCUCCACUGGAGAAAAUGCAUGUGGGAAAGGCUGGGGGUUUCCAUCCUCAAUAUUUAGUAAAAGAUAAAGUAAAAAUUACAACUGCCUUCUGAAUGGCUCCCCUCCCCUGACUUCAUGGGAGUGAUGACUCAGCCCUCUGUUUUGUAACUGCGGAGAUUGAAAGUGGAGACGGGACCUUUGGCAUUUCAGAAAAUGUCGACGCCGCUUUCUUCUGCUUUCUCCGGGACCCCUCUGGGGCCUCGCCUCCUCCCCUCCCGCUGAAAGCCUGCUGUGAAAGGAGCAAGGAUGUGAAAAAGAUGUACGACUCUUUGCUUCCUUAUGCUCGGCCCAAGUUUAUCAAAAGCUGUGGAGUUUGCUAAAAUAAUCCAGGGAAUUCGCCUGGAAAUGGUUUUUUUUUUUUUUUUUGGUUGUUGUUUGUCUUCACUUGUUCCAAAGAAGCAAAAUAAGACAGGGGCUGCCCCUUGUCCUGUCUCAUUCAUUUUUGACACCCUUGUUUCUCCACACAGGCCCUGGGGUGAAGGGCACAGGUGGGAUUCAGAAUAGAAAUGACUCGAGGGACGCAAGGAGUUGGGAUCAGAAGAAGCAGCAGAAACUCCUGCUCUGCAGACACAGCAGACAUUACUGGGAAAGACACCAGAGACCCAGGAGUUCACCCAAGUCCUCUGCACACUGUCUUCCCAGCCCUCUCUCCUGGAUCUGAGAUGAUUUCACUUAAAAACACAAGCCUUUGCUUAAAGGUAGAUGAACAUUCCUUUCAGUUUCUAAGAUGGGGGGCCCACGGUCCUAGGCGCUGAGUCAGAAACUUUUUAGAUGUCCCCAGAGUGCACAGGUUUAAGGACAGAGGGAGAUUCUCAGUCUUCCUGGGUCCUCCCUGUCUCUCAGCCCAGUCAUCACACUCUAAAUCCCAGGGACUUGACUCUGCCUUCCAAUAGUUCUCAGAUCCACCUACUUUGCUCCCUUCUUUCAGAGCGCAGGUAGCCACUUGCUCUCCCAGAGAGUGCUGCAGCGGUGAUGAUCGGUUUCCCCCCUCCCCACCUGCUCAGUCCUGCAAAGCCUGGACUCUGCUCCAAGGCCUUUGGGACCCAACACCUGCUUUCCAGCCUCAGGGCCUCAGGCCUGAGACCACAGGGGCUCUUCCCGGCGGCUGUACCUCCUGCCAUUCACCUGCUGAUUUCUUCCUCAUCUGUUUAUUCCUCUGAUCCAACAAGGUCAGGAUGGUAUGCAACCGCCACCCCCCCCCCACUGCCCCCACCACCACAGCACUGCCACGACCCUUGUCUGGGACGGAUGAUGUGGGGCUGCACUUCCUCUGUCGGCCCCCUGCCCUCGUCAGGAGGCCCAGCAUGUAGCAGGCAAGCAGCAGGCAGCAGGCAGGUGCUGAGUGGGUGUGGAAGGUGUGGCCCCUCACACCUCUGUGUCCUAUGCUCAGCGCUGUGCUUGGGCAUGGCGAGGCCUCAGCAGAUACUGUGCAGCACAGUGACACCAAUGGAACCCAGUAAAAAGACAGUUUCCAAUUUUCCUCGCUGCUGGGGCCCACCCAGAUCCUGGAGCAGAGCAUGGCCUGCAGGAAGCACAGGCUGGUGGACUGUGGCUGUGUCACGGCGAGCUUCCAGUGGCUCUCGCAGAACUCAAUUGGCACGGUAAAGGGACAAAUGAAGUUUCCAGCUUUUUUCUUUUAAUAGCUCAGAUAUCAAUUUUAUAGCUCUGAUGGACAUAAUUUAUAAAAUAAGUCUAUAUCUUACUGUAAAUUUGAGACGGUUAACCUUUAAUAAAGUUAAUAAGGGGCUUGUCAAAACUCCUGAGCUGAACUUUGCUUGCUCGUUACAUAAUAACAACGAAGUGAUUUUAACCUAAACUGCAGCUAUUUUGGCCAUUUAAAGGUGAGGAAAGAGAGGGGAUGGGCAGGAAAAGUAGUUUUUCCAUCGUCCUGGAAGAACUGCCAGGUGAAGGUGAUGGGGAGGCUGGCGUUUUAAUUCCUCUAAUGGCUCAGAUCAGCUGCACCUGGGUGUGUGUCCCUUGCUCAUCAGCGCACGCUGGCGGGCCUGCGGAGGCACGAGGUGUCUUUAAGCCGAGAGCAGGAAGCAAAGUUUCUGGAAAAACUGAGGGGCGCAGGGAGCACGGACUGGGUCUUCAGGAGCAGUGUGGCUGAGCUGUGGAAAUGGACACAUCCACUGUCCCAGAUAUUAUGAAAAUGAACCCCUCACUCUGAGCUCUUUCGAGAGGAAUCCUCAAGUAUGGAGCCCAAAGAAAAAGGGCUGUGUCCAUGCCUGGGCUGGGCUCUGCAAGAAUGCACAACAAAUCACCACCCCAGACAAACACUUCCAGGCACCUCCCGACAUACUCCUAAACACUUCCCCAGGCACUCCGGGCGCCUCCCCACACACUCCCAGGCGCCUCCCCACACGCUGCCAGGCGCCUCCCCACAGACUCCCAGGCGCCUCCCCACACGCUCCCAGGCGCCUCCCCACACGCUCCCAGGUACCUCCCCAUGGUCCCAGCUACCUCCCCACAGAUUCCCAGGCGCCUCCCUGCACGUUCCCAGACACCUUCCCAGGCGCUGCCAGCCUCCUCCUGCGCACAGAUCGGGAGGUCCCUGGACUUCCACUUGUUGAGCUGGACUCAAGCCGGAUCGCCUGGAGGAUAUUCUCAGGGCACAGCGGCUGCCUGCGCCUGAGCAGUGCUGAGGAGAUGCCAAGGUCAGGCAUCAGCUUUCAGAGAAUGCAGCUGCGUCAGAGAUGGAGACACGCAGAGCCACGUGUCGUGGAGAAUCUAAGGAAGUUCGCUGGCGCCAGCAGCGGGAAAAGGCCCUGGCUUGAUGAGGGGAACUCGCAGCCUUGCAGCGCGGGUGGGAGCCCCGGGCGGAACCGCAGAAGCAUCCCCGGCCGUGGGGUUUUCUCCUCCAGCUGGAGACGUGGAGGGAGUGGAGCAGAGAUGAGCUGUGAGCUCAGCAGUUCACACAGGACGGGAUGGGGGAGGAGAACCCAGGGAUGGGAGAGAUUGGAGAACAAGGAGCUGCUGGGUCUCAGCCUCGUGUAGACGACAGGGCCUGUGGGGAUGGCCACGCGUGAAUCUGGUCCUGGCGGGGAGCGUCCGGCGCGAUGGGAGGGACCUGCAGCCAGUGAUCCUCCCGUGGCAUCGCUUCUAGAGUUGAGAGGAGAAAGCCAGUAGCUGCCGGUCUCUGGUGGGUCUCACAGAUGCUGGAGCAGGUGUAGGAGGAAGCGCCUCCAGCAGGAGUGACACCCCCAUGCCGCCCAGGAAGGUGUCGCGCCUGUUAGGAGGGAAAGGACUCAGGAUGUGCGUUGCAUGGGGUUGUGAGUGAGUCAGUGGCAGCCCCCCCGCCUCCUCCUCCUGCUUUGACCUGAUGCAGGAUGGACUCAGCACCCCGCCGAAGGCACUCCCAUUCCCCUCUGCAUAUGGUUUUCAUCAUGUGGACCUUCAAUAGCUAUUUUUGAUUGAUGGGUAUUCAGUGGGAUUCAACAUCCGUAAACGUUCUGACCCAAGUCCUGUUGAUCAAUGGCGUCACCGCACGGCCUUUUUGACCCAAGUCUGCACCAUUCUGUCUUUCCUGGAGUCACCCUUCGAGUGCUCUAUGUGACCGUGGCCUCCUGCGGAGUCUGCCCUUGGCUCACGGCUGGACAGACAUUGGCUCUUGGCGUCUCUCAUGUUGGUCACCCCUCCAGCUGCUCUGCAGCAACAAUGCCCCUUUCCAUUCAUAGAAGGUCGUUAUCGUGCUUGCACUCGGGACUGAGUUCACAUUGCCUUCUACCUGCCAGAGAAGCUCUGAGCUCCUGGAGGAAUGUUCCUUUUCUUCUGAUGAAAAAUGACGAGGUGAACCCCUCGUGCCUCGGCGUAAUGUGGUCAUCAGAGGUCGUGAGAAGAGCACAGAAAUGCGUGUUUCUCAUAAUCGCCUGGAUGCUAAUCACUGCGUCAAAACCUCCCGUGAGCCGCUUUCUCCACAGAAUGGAGGUGGCCGGGCGCGGUGGCUCACGCCUGUAAUUCCAGCACUUUGGGAGGCCGAGGCGGGUGGAUCACGAGGUCAGGAGAUCGAGACCAUCCUGGCUAACACGGUGAAACCCCGUCUCUACUAAACAUACAAAAAAUUAGCCGGGCGUGGUGGCGGGUGCCUAUAGUCCCAGCUACUCUGGAGGCUGAGGCAGGAGAAUGGCGUGAGCCCGGGAGGCGGAGCUUGCAGUGAGCUGAGAUCGCGCCACUGCACUCCAGCCUGGACGACAGAGCGAGACUCCGUCUCAAAAAAAAAAAAAAAUGGUGGAAAUGCCCCUUCCUCUAACUGCAGCUGUGCACAUCCCCCUGGGGACAGACCCAAGGCGCCUUGAGAUGCUGAAAGGCGUUCUCUGUGUUCUGAGUGGAAGUACAGCCUGGAAAGUCCACGGAGACUCUGCUCUGAGUGAGCCGAGCUGGACAGAGGGGCUUUUGAGUCAAAGUUUUCUCCUCCUUGCACUUUGCCAGAAAAUCUCAAUUGCUAGUGAGGAAUUCUUUUCCUUUCUUUCCCUAACGAAGUGAGUGAUGAGACUGGCUCUUUUGCAUAUUUGCAGGGAGUAAGCAUUGUCUGGAUUUUCACUGAGUUUACCUCAGCAACUUUUUAAAAACUUUACUCCAAAGGGAGCCAAUGUGCCCUUCCUUUGACGUAGAAAACUAUUAUUUUAAAAUUCUGCCAUUCGGCAUUACUCUGAUUUUUCUGAAUAAUUAGACUCAAAACACUCUGGUUUAUUCCCAUCUCAAAGGUCUUAGGGCAGUGGAUGCCGCCUUUGCUUCUGUUUGCUGCAGCCUGUUUGAGUGGCAGGCUCUUUGCCCUCGUUGGCCAGUCCCCACAUUCUGGUGACGCUUUUCUCCUGCCUCUUGGCCCCCAGUCACAUUUUCCAUGGUGACUCUUUCAACCUCAGCCUUCACGUUUCAAGUCAUGCAUCCACUUUGUUUUCCUGUUUCAGUAGACCCCCCUCUGAGUUUACUGAGCACUUUGAGACCACUUGGUACCAGGGCACAGCCUCCUCAUCUCCAAACGCAUGGGUUCCAUCACAAGCGGGCCUGAUCGCACAUGGCAGCUCUCGUCUCCCAGUUAUUGCAUGCACAUGUGUGUUUGGCCAGGUUGGCUUUAGGUUCAUUAAAGGCAGUGCCUUUUCUUCAUGUUUUAUUUCUCUCCAUCUGCAAUGUGUUGUGGAGUGGAGGCACCGUCCGUUCACGCACUCAGGCCUUCAGAACGUAGCUCCCGAGUGCUUGCUGUGGGCCCCAUUCCACCUGCUGGCUGAGUGGUGAACAAAGCUCAAGGAGCUGCCUCCUCCAAGCGAAGGGAGGACACCAGGCACAACAGCGUAGAGUGUGGAGUCAGGAGCGUUUGGAGAAAAGCAAACAGGAAAGGGAGAUAUAAGUGACAGCCACCUGGUGGUCAGGAGAACAAACUGCCGCCGUGUCUCCACACCCUGUGUGUCCUGAACACCGCUGGGAAGCCGUCAGCAGACGCUCCGCAGGCCACCGGGGCGAUCGGGGCACUAAAGGCCAAGCAGGCUUCACACACUGCCAAAGUCCAGGUGACCAGAGAGUAUGACCGGACACAAAGGAUGCAAUUGUAGAAACUGGUUGGUUGUUUUACCAAGGCUUUGACUGGAAAGUUGUGCUUCCCUUUAAAGAAUCAAGCUUGAUAUGCAGACCCAAUAAAAGCCCCUUGAGAAAACUGGCCUUCAUACCUUGUCAACACAGUCCUGUAUAGGGUUCUUAACCUGUGGUGAGUAAAGAAUGUCACUUUCUAAUAGGCCCAGGAGCCCCAUGUUAUCUUGAAACCUCCGUAAGAGGAAGUUACCCAACUCAUAGGUAUUUGAGGGUAAAAACCCAUGGCUGGGCUCGACUUUAAAAAGUCCUAUCUGAGAUUCUUUGUGGAACAGAGCUCCAUCAAAGCCAAUUUUAAAAGCUUAUGUGAAAAAUAAUUAUUCUUGCUGCACUUUAUGCAAAUGAUCAGUCCAAGUGGAAGACUAAAGUUUAUUUUGCAAACAACUCAGUCCUAUCAUGAUUUGUUUUUGACAAAAAUAAGACUAAAGAGAGAGAAAUUAUGUUUCAAAACUCACCAUAUAGUAGUCAUUAAAUUCCAAUGUCAUCAGUUGUUUUUAAGUUUUUGCUUACAUUUUAGACUAACCCUGCUUAUUCCUGUGAAGCAAACAGUGAUCUCUGGCUGCAGUUCAGAAGAAAGAGAAGGGAUGGGUAAUGCAAAAAUCUGGACCAAUAUUCUAGUUCUAAUUAUUGUGCAAAUCCUGCCAGGUGAUGGGAGUAAAUAGGGUGCCUAUAACCCAGAGGUUUCCUUUUUUGGGAAGAUAAGACCAAGGGAGCUAACCAAAGCUGAGUCCCAUGCACUUAUAUCUUAGCAGGCUUAACUAUAACCACUAGUUAUCCAUGCAUGCCAGCAGCCUUGGUAUUUUUGAGCUGUCCUUUACCCCUUGUUUCAUUUUGAUUCAUGUCCUCUAAUAACUCAGUUUGUCUCUUUUCACCUUCAAGCCAUCAAACUCCAAAUGCUCAUAUAACCGGAACCUCGGACAAUGGUCCCUUCUUCCGGGGACCCUUAGAUAGGCCUCGGAGGAAGCUCUGACUACUGUUUCCCAAAACAGCACCCUCCUGUCAGCAGGAAGCAGUGAAGACUGGUCUUUGUCCUUAUCCUCAUCCUUAUCCGAAUGGCACUUAGAUGUACUUCUUUAGAAAUUGGGCAUGACAGCAGCAGGAGGCAGCCAAUGCCCAGGCAGAUGGGGUGGGUCCCCAGUGAAACCCCACCUCCAAGCAAAAGACAGUUUAAAGCCUGAAAGCCAAGCUACAGGUUAAAUCUUUGGAUCAGAUUGAGAACUUGUCUUCCUGUUUGGCACGCUUUCCUCUGAUUGGUCCCCACCCUUCACCUAUUUUACAUUUACCUACCCUUUCCUAAUUGGUUUUUCUAUGCUGUCAUGCCCACCUUUGAGUGGUGUCUUCCUUUAACCUUUUUUGGAUUCUCACAAACCAAUCAGCAUUCACUCCCCAUUCUGAGUCCAUAAAAGGCCCCGGACCCAGCCAUAUGGAGGAACUUACCCACCUUGGGUAGGAAGACCAACCCCACAUCCCCCCUCUACUGAGAGUUAUUUUCAGCACUCAAUAAUAUUCUUUUCUGCCCUUCUCAUCCUUCAAUGUGCAGAGUAUCCUCAUUCUUCUUGGGCAUGGUACAAGAACUCAGGAACCACCAAACAUGAUACAAGCUAUAACACAGGCCAGUUGGGGCAUGCCAGCAUGGCCGAGUGGGACCCAGGUGGAGCACUGCCAGCUGGGGCUCCCUGCUCUGCAACGUGACUGAGAAUAAAAAUCCUACAUUGGUUUUACGUAACAGAAGGUGAACAUCUGAUAAGAAAGGGUGACAAAAGGAAAAGUCAACCAUGCAGAUGUCUCUGGGUAUGUGGGGGAGUGACUGGUCUCACCUUGACUUUAUUCUGCACCUGGGCAGGUGGGUUUGUAAUUGACACGACCAGUGUGCAACUGAACAGACUUUAGUUUUAGGAGCUGGACUUAGACUGCAGUCCUAAAGUUUCAAUUGGCCUGUCCUCAUUCAUGAGAGGCCAGCAGAGAAUUCACGCAGGGAUCAUCUGUGUGGGCAGCUUUUCCAGAUGCCUGAGGCCUUUCCCAUUCUCUUUGGGUCUGGCUGAUACAUGAUGUUAGUGACAGUCAAUUCAUUUGGAAGAGGGAGUGCAAUGACUUUCCCUUUUGCAUAAGAAGUUUUGGGGGUACUGAGAUUUUUAGUUUCCUUUACAAGACCUUCCCGCAAAUAAGUACAAGAGGACCCAGAGUGUGGGGUGUCUGGCUGUCUGAGCAGUUGGGCCACUGACGCUGAGGACAAUGUGAGAAAGCCUGUCCUGGUGGAAGGGAGAGCAAAGGUGGAGAGAAAGGAAGCUCCAUGUUAGUUUUUGAAACACACCACAGCUGAAGGUCAGUCCCCAAAGCUGGUUAUGGUUGAAAGGGAGGAAAAGCUGCUCCCACGUGGCUCUGGCUGAGGCUUCCGAGACUCUGCAGGUGGGGGCCGUCUGUCUUCCCCAGGUGGGAGCUACUUCUUUUUAGAAGCAGGCUCCACGGCGGUUUUCAGGUGUGGCCUUGCCCAGCGUCCCGAUGUUUUGCUUCCUGCCUGGCCUCGGCGCUCUUUGAUGACCUCCUCUUGCCACACACUGUGGUCUCCAUAGGCUGCCCACUGCUGAUCCGAGGCUGGUGGCCCCCAGCACACGUGGGUUUCUGAGGAACACGCUGAGACUCUCGGGCCAUGCCGUGACACAGGGGAGACAGCGUCUGCUCUUUUUCCAUUUUUGUUCGUUUUCAGUGCUCUGACCCUCAGGAAGCCCACUUAAGCAUCCCAGAAUCCAGACGGCCGUGAACAAAGCUGCUGUGGUUUGGGGCUGCAAAACUGGCCCACAGCCCACCUGGAUAACUGAAUCGAACAUGCCUCAGCCGCCCUCACCACAGGCACCAUCCCCCUCACAGAAGUUUGAUGUCUGAUCAUUCAGCACUGGCUGAGCCUCAGAGCUAAAAUGGAAAAUGCAUUUUAUGAGCAGAUAACACAUUUUUGGAAUGGCUACUUUAAACAUUGUGGAUACAGAUUCACAGAGACUAUUUUUAGAUGAAUUAUUUCUUCUAUUUACCAUACUGAUUUGCUGGAAGAAAGAAAAACAAUAUUUUAAAAAGGGAAAACAUUCUUUAAAAGCAGUGACUCUAAAUUUCCCCUGAAGAGCAAAAUGCUGUCUGUGUCUCACUCAAUGUGGUGGCUGCUACAGGAGGAUCUUCCCAGGCCUUCUCAGGGAAUUCCCAUCAGGAUCACAGGAAUGGUACCUGGCAGACACAACCCAGUCUGCACCUUCCAUGGGCCACAGCUGAUGGUACGAGGAGAGGUGUGACAUCUGCCUGACCUCAGAAAUCUAAAUCAUUCCUUUUGCAACAAAACAAUAACAGUGGAGUGCGUUCCCUGAGUUUUUGGAGAGAAAAGAAAAAUAAAGUUCAGAGGCAAAACUUGGUAGAAAUUCUGAAGCCUGGAUGACAGUGAUGACUCCGCGCAGCAGGAACGUCGCGGGCCUUGCCUGGCCACGUCCUCUUGGCUGGAGGCAUGAGUGUUUAUGCCAGGCUGAAGAAGUCACUUGAACUCAUGUCCUUUGACUGAACAUUUUUUAUGAGACCUGCAUAAAUCAUUUCUUUAAAAAUGGCAUCCUGGGCAUGGAGGCAGUCUGCUUUUUGCAAGAAUUCUUAUGGGCAAAGUCUCUUCAGAUGAGAAUGAUUCUGCUUUAAUUCCCUCUGCCUUCUGCCCUUGGGUAAGCUCACUGUGUCUCCUUAAACACUCUGGCUUUAACCAGUUUCUGCGUAUCAUUCAGACCAACAUUCCUCUCAGUUAUCAGUCAACUGAGAGACUGAGAAAUAAAGUCAAUAGAAUGAAAAGAAAAUAGUCAUAUACAGUAAGCUCGAUUUUCUUCCUACCGCUUCCUCAUAUCUUUGCCAAGUCAAACCAAACUACCUCCUUCUAGAAAUUUGUCUUAUAAAUUAUCUUCAUGACCUUCAGGAAGCUAAUAUAUUUUAAGGUGUACAAAGCACUAAAAAUACUGAUUAAAAGAUCAAUUGGACUUCAGCAGAAUUUAGAACUUCUGUUCAUCAGAUGACAACCUUAAGAAAGUGAAAAGAUAAGUGCUUUCAUUAGUUCCCACAACACAGGAGGAAGCCCUAGAAAAUCAAUCAGAAAAACACAAUCCAAUUUAAAAGCUGAGCAAUAGCCUGUGUGGGCACUUCACAAAACGGGAUAUCCCAAUGGCCAGGGAGCUAUGAGGAGGUGAUCAAGAUCAUUUGUUUUCAAGAAAAUGAAAAUUAAAUCCACAGUGAGGGAGAAUUGCACACUCACCAGGAUGCGUAAGGCUAAAGAGACUGAAAAUGCCAACUUCUGGGGAGGACUUGGUGAUGAGAACUCACCUAUUGCUCUGGGAAUAUAAAGUGGUUCCACCAUUCUGGAAAAAUUCUUCAGCAAUAUUUACUAAAUUUAAAGAUAUGCCUAUCCUAUGACCCGAAAUCCUGCUCCUAGCUCUAACUAUGGGAAAUGAGUGGCGCAGUCCACAAAAGGACAUGUGCAAGAACAUCCAUAGCAGCUUUAUGCACAGUAAAUCCAAACUGGACACAACCCAAAUGCUCAGAACAAGAGAAGAAAUAAAUACAUUUUUAUAGCCUUGCAAUGGAAAACUAUAGUGUGAUAAAACAAUAAACCACGAGUGUACCAAGAAUAUUGAUGUUUGUUUCACAACAAACAUGUGCGUGAAAGAAGCCAGACACAGAAGAGUUCCCACUGUCUGGUUCCAUUUCCACAAAGUCCAAAACAGACACAACUAACUGAUAAUGACAAAAAUCAGAAGACUGGUGAUCUCCAGACGGAGGUAUAGACUUAAAAGGGGCCAAGGGAAAAUAAGGGGAAUAUGAACCCCACUCAAAGGUUUCACACACAAAGAGGCAGAGUAGAUACAGAGUGAAUAAAUACAUUAUUUUCAUGUGCAUACAAUAGAUCAAGUAAUAAAAUUCUGAGAGCCGCACAUAUGUUAUUUAGUUCAUACAAAAACCCUGGGUUUAUUCUGAACCCACCUAUGAGAUCACAUGGAGAGACUGGCUCCACCUGUGAGAUCACAUGGAGAGACUGGCUCCACCUGUGAGAUCACAUGGAGAGACUGGCUCCACCUGUGAGAUCACAUGGAGAGACUGGCUCCACCUGUGAGAUCACAUGGAGAGACUGGAUCCUGAAACACAAGGGUGUGCUGCAUUUCUGGAUACCAUCGCAGACCUUUGCAAGCAGUUCCAUGAAACAAGAAAGGAGCAUUAGGAUCAAUGGCAUGAGAUUUAAUUAAAUUUGCAUUGGUUUUUCUACGUUGACUUUCACUUUGCAACCAAAGAACACCAUUCUCCCUGGCAUUGUGGUAAUUUAAAAGUGCCGGGGAGGUGUGGCUCACUAAGCUAAA
Molecule: long non-coding RNA, 13482 nt
Filed under: Homo sapiens (human)
Lineage: Eukaryota; Metazoa; Chordata; Mammalia; Primates; Hominidae
Description: non-protein coding LINC02519:19
Source: RNAcentral